CUGCUACUCCCUCCGAUCCAUAUUACUUGUCGAAAUAUUACAUGUAUCUAGACACUUUUUAUACAUAGAUACAUCCAUAUUUGGGCAAAUUUAAGACAAUUAAUAUGGAUUGGAGGGAGUAUGUG
Non-coding RNA from Brachypodium distachyon (stiff brome), 125 nucleotides. The record is from Rfam. Lineage: Eukaryota; Viridiplantae; Streptophyta; Magnoliopsida; Poales; Poaceae.